Non-coding RNA from Podarcis lilfordi (Lilford's wall lizard), 78 nucleotides. The record is from the annotation of a GenBank genome assembly. Lineage: Eukaryota; Metazoa; Chordata; Lepidosauria; Squamata; Lacertidae.
GGCUCAGGCUCACACAGGGUUGCCAGAACAUGAGACUCUUAAUCUCAGGGUUGUGGGUUCAAGCCCCACCUUGGGGCA